This 460-nucleotide ribosomal RNA is filed under the name uncultured bacterium. RNAcentral describes it as "partial 16S ribosomal RNA". It matches the Rfam family "Bacterial small subunit ribosomal RNA", at positions 338 to 795 of the family's 1533-position model. The record is from RNAcentral.
CCUACGGGAGGCAGCAGUGAGGGAUAUUGGACAAUGGACGAAAGUCUGAACCAGCCAUGCCGCGUGCAGGAAGACGGCUCUAUGAGUUGUAAACUGCUUUUGUACGAGGGUAAACGCAGAUACGCGUAUCUGUCUGAAAGUAUCGUACGAAUAAGGAUCGGCUAACUCUGUGCAAGCAGCCGCGGUAAUACGGAGGAUUCAAGCGUUAUCCGGAUUUAUGGGGUUUAAAGGGUGCGUAGGCGGGCGGAUAAGUUAGAGGUGAAAUCCCGAGGCUCAACUUCGGAAGUGCGUUUGAUACUGGUCGGCUUGAGAGAAGUUGAGGUAGGCGGAAUGCAUAGUGUAGCGGUGAAAUGCGUAGAGAUCAUACAGAACACCGAUUGCGAAGGCAGCUUACCAGGCUACUUCUGACGUUGAGGCACGAAAGCGUGGGGAGCAAACAGGAUUAGAUACCCUUGUAGUC